Molecule: RNA transcript, 987 nt
Organism: Nasonia vitripennis (jewel wasp)
Lineage: Eukaryota; Metazoa; Arthropoda; Insecta; Hymenoptera; Pteromalidae
Exons: 4
Source: RefSeq, a predicted model, not a curated record
UCUCUUUAUUAUUUUCUCCCACGUGACACAAGGCAUGAGAGCAACGCUAUCGUCAAUGAUCCUGAAAUAGCGCUUUCCGACUCGAAGAAUUCCACCUACGAACGUACAACAUAUAUAGCGGAACGCACUGCGACAGUGUAAAGAUGUGUCAUGUCCUGUGGAGAUCGAAAUAGAAGCGUCGGCUGUUGUCCGGUGUUCGUAUAUUCCGCCUGAAGAUCGAUCACGAGCAUGUCCAGAGAGGAAAGAAGAGCGCUCGCUGAGAUUCUAACUGCAGCGACUCAACCCUGACUCUGACGACCGUAACAAAGAUCCUAUCGAUCGUAUGCGCCUUCGUUCAUCGCCUCGGCUUAUCGACAGCCCACUUGUCUGCUUAGUAGCAUCAGCGACUCCCUUGCACCUGGAAUGCGGCACCGCUACGCUAUUCGGAGAAUAUUUCUUCACGUAAGAACGAAAUUUGUAUUAACGAAGAGAGCGCGCGAGCGAGCGCUGCGCCUGGAGAUUGGUUGCUGUGGCUGGAUUCAAUUACGCGUAUACUUCGAAAGAGACGCCGGCGCUGCAGUCUCGGCCAGAGAAAUUAAGAUCUUUUUGAUGUCUGCAGAUAGCCAGCCGACAUGUUCUGUAUCCACCCGACCGUUCGUCUGGUCGCGCAUUACGAAUAUCUGCGGCUAGUAACAGUCUGAAGUAAUUAAAAUAACACCAAGGUAGCAAAUUAGCCAGUGCGUUUUGUUGGCGAUCGUUCCAUCUUCUUACUUCACUUCCUCCUUUCAAAAAAGUCACGCCAAACAUCUAAAUUGUUAAAGGUUUUCUUUUUAAAUACGAUUAAAAUACAAGAAUGUGCACAUGCCAAAUAUUUGAUACUUAAUCACCGUGCAUAUACCAGUCUUACCGAAUGCAUUUAUCUGACGAUCGUGCAGUAUUCAUUACGUCAUCGUGUAGAACAAGUAAUUUAAUUAUAAACUUGAUAAUUUAUAAUAAAUUCAGAAGUUA